UACGGAGGGUGCGAGCGUUGUUCGGAUUUACUGGGCGUAAAGGGCGCGUAGGCGGCCAGCGCAAGUCAGUUGUGAAAUCUCCGGGCUUAACUCGGAACGGUCAACUGAUACUGCGCGGCUAGAGUGCAGAAGGGGCAACUGGAAUUCUCGGUGUAGCGGUGAAAUGCGUAGAUAUCAGGAGGAACACCAAUGGCGAAGGCAGCUCGCUGGGACGGUACUGACGCUGAGACGCGAAAGCGUGGGGAGCAAACAGG
RNAcentral lists this ribosomal RNA (254 nucleotides) under uncultured bacterium. Its description in RNAcentral is "partial 16S ribosomal RNA". It matches the Rfam family "Bacterial small subunit ribosomal RNA", at positions 524 to 776 of the family's 1533-position model. The record is from RNAcentral.